This 534-nucleotide ribosomal RNA is filed under the name uncultured bacterium. Its description in RNAcentral is "partial 16S ribosomal RNA". It matches the Rfam family "Bacterial small subunit ribosomal RNA", at positions 355 to 881 of the family's 1533-position model. The record is from RNAcentral.
UGGGGAAUUUUGGACAAUGGGGGCAACCCUGAUCCAGCCAUCCCGCGUGUGCGAUGAAGGCCUUCGGGUUGUAAAGCACUUUUGGCAGGGAAGAAACAGCCUGGGAUAAUACCCCGGGCGACUGACGGUACCUGCAGAAUAAGCACCGGCUAACUACGUGCCAGCAGCCGCGGUAAUACGUAGGGUGCAAGCGUUAAUCGGAAUUACUGGGCGUAAAGCGUGCGCAGGCGGUUCGGAAAGAAAGGUGUGAAAUCCCAGGGCUUAACCUUGGAACUGCACUUUUAACUACCGAGCUAGAGUACGUCAGAGGGGGGUAGAAUUCCACGUGUAGCAGUGGAAUGCGUAGAGAUGUGGAGGAAUACCGAUGGCGAAGGCAGCCCCCUGGGAUGAUACUGACGCUCAUGCACGAAAGCGUGGGGAGCAAACAGGAUUAGAUACCCUGGUAGUCCACGCCCUAAACGAUGUCAACUAGCUGUUGGGGUUUAUUAACCUUAGUGCGCAAGCUAAACGCGUGAAGUUGACCGCCUGGGGAGU